This 434-nucleotide ribosomal RNA is filed under the name uncultured bacterium. Its description in RNAcentral is "partial 16S ribosomal RNA". It matches the Rfam family "Bacterial small subunit ribosomal RNA", at positions 29 to 507 of the family's 1533-position model. The record is from RNAcentral.
AGCGAACGCUGGCGGCAGGCCUAACACAUGCAAGUCGAACGAACCUUUCGGGGUUAGUGGCGGACGGGUGAGUAACACGUGGGAACGUGCCUUUAGGUUCGGAAUAACUCAGGGAAACUUGUGCUAAUACCGAAUGUGCCCUUCGGGGGUAAGAUUUAUCGCCUUUAGAGCGGCCCGCGUCUGAUUAGCUAGUUGGUUGAGGUAAUGGCUCACCAAGGCGACGAUCAGUAGCUGGUCUGAGAGGAUGAUCAGCCACAUUGGGACUGAGACACGGCCCAAACUCCUACGGGAGGCAGCAGUGGGGAAUCUUGCGCAAUGGGCGAAAGCCUGACGCAGCCAUGCCGCGUGAAUGAUGAAGGUCUUAGGAUUGUAAAAUUCUUUCACCGGGGACGAUAAUGACGGUACCCGGAGAAGAAGACCCGGCUAACUUCGUG